Molecule: ribosomal RNA, 250 nt
Filed under: uncultured bacterium
Lineage: Bacteria
Description: partial 16S ribosomal RNA
Rfam family: Bacterial small subunit ribosomal RNA
Source: RNAcentral
CACGGGGGGAGCAAGCGUUGUUCGGAUUCAUUGGGCGUAAAGAGCUCGUAGGUGGCUCUGUAAGUCGGAGGUGAAAGACCACGGCUCAACCGUGGAAACGCCUUCGAAACUGUGGAGCUUGAGGCUGGGAGAGGAGAUCGGAAUUCCUGGUGUAGCGGUGAAAUGCGUAGAUAUCAGGAGGAACACCGGUGGCGAAGGCGGAUCUCUGGACCAGUUCUGACACUGAGGAGCGAAAGCUAGGGGAGCAAAC